AUACAGAGGGUGCGAGCGUUAAUCGGAAUUACUGGGCGUAAAGCGCGCGUAGGCGGCUUAUUAAGUCAGAUGUGAAAUCCCCGGGCUCAACCUGGGAACUGCAUCUGAUACUGGUAAGCUAGAGUUUUGGAGAGGGAAGUAGAAUUUCAGGUGUAGCGGUGAAAUGCAUAGAGAUCUGAAGGAAUACCAGUGGCGAAGGCGACUUCCUGACCAAAAACUGACGCUGAGGUGCGAAAGCGUGGGUAGCAAACGGGAUUAGAAACCCUAGUAGUCC
This 274-nucleotide ribosomal RNA is filed under the name uncultured bacterium. RNAcentral describes it as "partial 16S ribosomal RNA". It matches the Rfam family "Bacterial small subunit ribosomal RNA", at positions 523 to 796 of the family's 1533-position model. The record is from RNAcentral.